GGCCCCGUAGCUCAGCAGGAUAGAGCAGCUGAUUCCUAAUCAGCAGGUCGCAUGUUCGAAUCAUGCCGGGGUCACCA
Molecule: transfer RNA, 77 nt
Filed under: Pelagibacterium sp. H642
Lineage: Bacteria; Pseudomonadati; Pseudomonadota; Alphaproteobacteria; Hyphomicrobiales; Devosiaceae
Description: tRNA-Arg
Rfam family: tRNA
About the family: Transfer RNA (tRNA) molecules are approximately 80 nucleotides in length.
Source: RNAcentral